RNAcentral lists this ribosomal RNA (232 nucleotides) under uncultured bacterium. RNAcentral's name for it is "partial 16S ribosomal RNA". It matches the Rfam family "Bacterial small subunit ribosomal RNA", at positions 99 to 334 of the family's 1533-position model. The record is from RNAcentral.
CGGACGGGGGAGUAAUGCUUGGGAAUCUAGCUUAUGGAGGGGGAUAACUACGGGAAACUGUAGCUAAUACCGCGUAAUAUCGAAAGAUUAAAGUGUGGGACCUUCGGGCCACAUGCCAUAGGAUAAGCCCAAGUGGGAUUAGGUAGUUGGUGAGGUAAAGGCUCACCAAGCCGACGAUCUCUAGCUGGUCUGAGAGGAUGACCAGCCACACUGGGACUGAGACACGGCCCAG